CCUACGGGAGGCAGCAGUGGGGAAUAUUGCACAAUGGGGGAAACCCUGAUGCAGCCAUGCCGCGUGUGUGAAGAAGGCCUUCGGGUUGUAAAGCACUUUCAGUUGUGAGGAAAGUUUAGUAGUUAAUACCUGCUAGAUGUGACGUUAGCAACAGAAGAAGCACCGGCUAACUCCGUGCCAGCAGCCGCGGUAAUACGGAGGGUGCGAGCGUUAAUCGGAAUUACUGGGCGUAAAGCGCACGCAGGCGGUCUGUUAAGCUAGAUGUGAAAGCCCCGCGCUCAACGUGGGAGGGUCAUUUAGAACUGGCAGACUAGAGUCUUGGAGAGGGGAGUGGAAUUCCAGGUGUAGCGGUGAAAUGCGUAGAGAUCUGGAGGAACAUCAAUGGCGAAGGCAACUCCUGGCCAAAGACUGACGCUCAUGUGCGAAAGUGUGGGUAGCGAACAGGAUUAGAUACCCUGGUAGUCCACACCGUAAACGCUGUCUACUAGCUGUUUGUGAAUUUAAUUCGUGAGUAGCGAAGCUAACGCGAUAAGUAGACCGCCUGGGGAGUACGGCCGCAAGGUUAAAACUCAAAGGAAUUGACGGA
Molecule: ribosomal RNA, 586 nt
Filed under: uncultured bacterium
Lineage: Bacteria
Description: bacterial SSU rRNA
Rfam family: Bacterial small subunit ribosomal RNA
Source: RNAcentral